This 740-nucleotide non-coding RNA is filed under the name Asymmetricata circumdata. The record is from RNAcentral. Lineage: Eukaryota; Metazoa; Arthropoda; Insecta; Coleoptera; Lampyridae.
AAAGUUUUAUUUUGACUUGAAUUUUUGAUUUAUUUUUAUUUUAUAUGUAAAUUUUUAUUUAAAAAUUAAAAUUGCAGUAUUUAGUUUUAAAAAAUUAUUUUUAUAAGUUUUAGUAAUUAAUUAUAGAUUUAAUAAAAUUUGUGCCAGCAAUUGCGGUUAUACAAAUAAUUCGAUUUAAAUUUAUUGGUUAGUAAUUUAUUGAUAAUUAAAAAUUUAUUAUUAAAAUUUUUGGGUGAAAUUAAAAUUUUAAUAUAGUUUUUAUUUUUGUAAUUGAAGUUAUUAAAAUUAUUAUUAAACUAGGAUUAGAUACCCUAUUAUUUAAAUUGUAAAAUUUUAUACCAGAUUAGUAUUAGUUAUUUUCUUUAAAAUUAUAAAAUUUGGCAGUAUUUUAGUCUAUUUAGAGGAACCUGUUCUAUAAUUGAUGAUACACGAUUUGAUUUUCUUUUUUUAUGUUUGUAUAUCGUUGUUUUUGAGAAUUUUAUAAGAAUUAAAAUUUACAUUAAGUAUAAUUAUAAGAAAUUUCAGAUCAAGGUGCAGCUUGUAGAAAAGAAGAAAUGGGUUACAAUAAGUUUAUUUUUGGUAUUAAUUCUUAGAAAAGUUAAUUAAAUUGGAUUUAAUAGUAAAGUUUUAUAAAUUUGAGACUUGAUUAAGCUCUAAAAUGUGUACAUAUUGCCCGUCGCUCUCGAAAUUUUGAGAUAAGUCGUAACAAAGUAGAUUUACUGGAAAGUGAAUCUAGAAUU